AGGGAAGAUUAAAUGUCUGCUGCUCAGAAUUCUGCACACCUCCCCAUAGAUGUCUAUUUUGAGCAGAGGAAAGUCCGGACACCGCAGAGCAGGAUAGUUCCUAACGGGAACCUGUCGCAAGACAGAGCCAGCUCCACAGAAACAAACUACCUCACUGCAAUCUGAGUGGGGAAAAGGUGAAAUGGUGGUGUAAGAGACCACCGGUGGUUCCGGUGACGGAAUCAGCCCGGAAUGCCUUAUCCGGUGCAAUGCCAAAUAGGAAAGCUCAGUGUUGCUCGCACGAUUAUGCUUUCGGGUAGGCAGCUAUAGCCGCAGGAGACCUUCGGGUCAGGUGCAAGCCGCGGCACAGAGGAAUGGACAUUGUCCUGCCUUUUAGGCAGGGAACAGAAUCCGGCUUAUUAUCUUCCCGCAGC
This 413-nucleotide RNase P RNA is filed under the name Candidatus Cloacimonadota bacterium. RNAcentral describes it as "RNase P RNA component class A". It matches the Rfam family "Bacterial RNase P class A". Rfam says of the family: Ribonuclease P (RNase P) is a ubiquitous endoribonuclease, found in archaea, bacteria and eukarya as well as chloroplasts and mitochondria. Its best characterised activity is the generation of mature 5'-ends of tRNAs by cleaving the 5'-leader elements of precursor-tRNAs. Lineage: Bacteria; Pseudomonadati; Candidatus Cloacimonadota. The record is from RNAcentral.